CCUACGGGGGCUGCAGUGGGGAAUAUUGGACAAUGGGCGAAAGCCUGAUCCAGCCAUGCCGCGUGUGUGAAGAAGGCCUUCGGGUUGUAAAGCACUUUCAGUGGGGAAGAAAGCCUUGGGGCUAAUACCCUCGAGGAAGGACAUCACCCACAGAAGAAGCACCGGCUAACUCCGUGCCAGCAGCCGCGGUAGUACGGAGGGUGCGAGCGUUAAUCGGAAUUACUGGGCGUAAAGCGCGCGUAGGCGGUCUGAUAAGCCGGUUGUGAAAGCCCCGGGCUCAACCUGGGAACGGCAUCCGGAACUGUCAGGCUAGAGUGCAGGAGAGGAAGGUAGAAUUCCCGGUGUAGCGGUGAAAUGCGUAGAGAUCGGGAGGAAUACCAGUGGCGAAGGCGGCCUUCUGGACUGACACUGACGCUGAGGUGCGAAAGCGUGGGUAGCAAACAGGAUUAGAUACCCUAGUAGUC
RNAcentral lists this ribosomal RNA (464 nucleotides) under Vreelandella stevensii. RNAcentral describes it as "partial 16S ribosomal RNA". It matches the Rfam family "Bacterial small subunit ribosomal RNA", at positions 338 to 795 of the family's 1533-position model. Lineage: Bacteria; Pseudomonadati; Pseudomonadota; Gammaproteobacteria; Oceanospirillales; Halomonadaceae. The record is from RNAcentral.